This 2076-nucleotide long non-coding RNA is filed under the name Citrus sinensis (sweet orange). RNAcentral describes it as "long non-coding RNA (CSIN_LNC002760)". The record is from RNAcentral. Lineage: Eukaryota; Viridiplantae; Streptophyta; Magnoliopsida; Sapindales; Rutaceae.
UAAUUUCUCAAAAAAAAACUUUUCAACUGUGACAAUUUCAUUCCUCUUAUUCUCCUUUUUUUCUUUAUUGUACAACUUUCAGAGCGAUCGUCCGUUGGAUCUAUUGCAUUGGUAGUACUAUUUUGAGUUCCAUUUGCAUAUGGUUGUGGAAAAGCAAACCAAAAACCUUGCGUCAUAACCGAUUUGUGACUUUGUUUAUAUUCAUCAUUAAUUCUCUUUGUUGGAUCCCCAACAUUAUCUUAGACUGAAUGGAAAUUCAAUUAAUACCAUAUAUCCCUUGGACGAUGGAUGGUCAAGAGCUUGAAAACAUUGUUGAUCCACGAAAUUGUUAGUGAUAUGCCCAAAAGGGCAAUCGAAUGAUGUUUGCUUUUAAGGAAAUAUUGUAUUUGAUUAGCAUUUUGAUAUUUAUAAAAUGACAAAGUUAUCUGCAUUCAUAAAUUAAUUUAAUGAAUAUAGUCUAAGAUUUUCAGGAAUCUUUCCUCUUGAUUUUUGUUUUUGAAUGAAGUCGAUUCGAGGUUUCUAGAGAUUUCGUCAUCCAUUUUAAUUUUACUGCACAAAAGUUGAGUUUUCAGGAAUCUUAUGGGCAUGUGUUGUCCUUCACAAAUCCCCCUGAUUGUCCUUCUGUGGAUUCCCCUAAUCCCAUUGUCUUCACUCCACAGCGAUCGCCCACCUACGAUUGGUACCUAAGAUUGGCUGAGACUGCCAAGAAAGGCAGCGGCGUGUCCAGCAUGUAAGAGAACGGCCGCAAACUUUUAUGUUCUAAACCACUGCACUUAAUGCGGAAUUGACGGCUCCCGUGUCAACUGCAGUGCAGCUCAAGUGCUGGAGCGUUCCGAUUUUGCUCACACCUGAUUGAGGUAGAAAGAGAGGAAACAAACUGCACUGAUUUUACUCAUAUACGAGUGAUACAAUUCUCUUGUUGGAAGGUACUGUUAAUAUAUCAAAUCCACCGGUGUUUGAAUAUUAAAUUUCUUGUUUUAAAAUGAAAUUACGAAUUAAAAUAUUAUAUAAUUUAUUUUAUAUAAUUUCUAUCAUUUUAUUUUUCUUAUAUAGUUUCUGUUAGAAAUAUAUAUCUAAAUAUAUAUUUAUAUAUAGGGUUUUAUCACUUUUAGGUCAGCCAUGAGGGAAGCAUGACCAAGAGCAAGUGAUCAUUUUGAGUUAGAACUCUAUAAUAUUUUAAAUAUUAUAUUGAAAGAUGUUAAAUGAUCAUUAAGAAGAUGAUCACUAUAACAAUUGUUUAAGCUUAUUUAGUGAUCAUUGAGAAGAUGUUCACUACUCUUGGAAUGUUAUAAAUAGAAUGCAAAUUCAUAGAGGAAAGAAGUUAACCAAAAAAAAAAAAAACAAAAUGCAAUUUAGAAAAAAUUCAAGUUAAAAGAAGUUUAGAGGGUUCUUGCAAUAUGAAUUGAGAGAAUUUUCUAACUUUCUGAUCAUCUUUUGACCAUAAAUCAAUAGCACGACCUUGAUUUAUUGAUUUUCCGCAUAUAAUCCAAGUAUAUGUUUAAAUUCGAAUUUACAAGUUUUUAUUUUAAUUCUUGCUCGAAAAUCAACAGUUUUCUAUUUCUACAACCCAACUCCCAUAAUUUCUAAAAAAAAAAACUUUUCAACUGUGACAAUUUCAUUCCUCUUAUUCUCCUUUUUUUCUUUAUUGUACAACUUUCAGAGCGAUCGUCCGUUGGAUCUAUUGCAUUGGUAGUACUAUUUUGAGUUCCAUUUGCAUAUGGUUGUGGAAAAACAAACCAAAAACCUUGCGUCAUAACCGAUUUGUGACUUUGUUUAUAUUCAUCAUUAAUUCUCUUUGUUGGAUCCCCAACAUUAUCUUAGACUGAAUGGAAAUUCAAUUAAUACCAUAUAUCCCUUGGACGAUGGAUGGUCAAGAGCCUGAAAACAUUGUUGAUCCACGAAAUUGUUAGUGAUAUGCCCAAAAGGGCAAUCGAAUGAUGUUUGCUUUUAAGGAAAUAUUGUAUUUGAUUAGCAUUUUGAUAUUUAUAAAAUGACAAAGUUAUCUGCAUUCAUAAAUUAAUUUAAUGAAUAUAGUCUAAGAUUUUCAGGAAUCUUUCCUCUUGAUUUUUGUUUUUG